This 61-nucleotide transfer RNA is filed under the name Distoechurus pennatus (New Guinean feather-tailed possum). Its description in RNAcentral is "tRNA-Thr". Lineage: Eukaryota; Metazoa; Chordata; Mammalia; Diprotodontia; Acrobatidae. The record is from RNAcentral.
UAAUUUAACUAAAAUACCAGUCUUGUAAGCUGACAACGAAGGCAAUUUCCUUCCUAGGACA